CGACAGGCAAAGAUAGGGAGUAGUAGAAUGUGACCCCUUCAGAGAGAGAAGUCAUUUGCUGAAAGAUUUCUCAGGAUUAGAGCAUUCGAAGUCGCCCUUGAGCUGUUUCUCUGAACGUGUAGUAGGAGAGACCGGUAAACCCGUUAUUCGAAUGAAGCGUACAGCUAAACGCUUAUUUAGCUGUAAAUAAAGGUGGUACCGCGAAAAAACUUCUUUCGUCCUUUUC
This is a non-coding RNA of 226 nucleotides. It matches the Rfam family "T-box leader". From Rfam's summary of the family: Uncharged tRNA acts as the effector for transcription antitermination of genes in the T-box leader family. T-boxes are found upstream of many aminoacyl-tRNA synthetase genes and some amino acid biosynthetic genes usually in Gram-positive bacteria. The anticodon of a specific tRNA base pairs to a specifier sequence within the T-box motif, and the NCCA acceptor tail of the tRNA base pairs to a conserved bulge in the T-box antiterminator hairpin.